CUGGCGGCGUGCCUAAUACAUGCAAGUCGAACGGUCUUUCUAUGGAAGCUUGCUUCCACUGAGAAGAUAGUGGCGAACGGGUGAGUAACACGUGGGGUAACCUGCCCAUAAGAGGGGGGAUAACGAUCCGGAAACGGGUGCUAAUACCGCAUAGUUUUCUUGAUCGCAUGAUUGAGAAAGGAAAGACGGCCUUUGUGCUGUCGCUUAUGGAUGGACCCGCGGCGUAUUAGUUAGUUGGUGAGGUAACGGCUCACCAAGACGAUGAUACGUAGCCGACCUGAGAGGGUGAUCGGCCACAUUGGGACUGAGACACGGCCCAAACUCCUACGGGAGGCAGCAGUAGGGAAUCUUCCGCAAUGGACGAAAGUCUGACGGAGCAACGCCGCGUGAGUGAAAGAAGGUUUUCGGAUCGUAAACUCUGUUGUCAGAGAAGAACAAGUUGGAGAGUAACUGCUCCAGCCUUGACGGUAUCUGACCAGAAAGCCACGGCUAACUACGUGCCAGCCGCCGC
Molecule: ribosomal RNA, 511 nt
Filed under: uncultured bacterium
Lineage: Bacteria
Description: bacterial SSU rRNA
Rfam family: Bacterial small subunit ribosomal RNA
Source: RNAcentral